This 80-nucleotide transfer RNA is filed under the name Camelus bactrianus (Bactrian camel). It matches the Rfam family "tRNA". Rfam says of the family: Transfer RNA (tRNA) molecules are approximately 80 nucleotides in length. Their secondary structure includes four short double-helical elements and three loops (D, anti-codon, and T loops). The record is from Rfam by way of RNAcentral. Lineage: Eukaryota; Metazoa; Chordata; Mammalia; Artiodactyla; Camelidae. RNAcentral also lists the same sequence under 2 other names.
AAGGGUAUAGCUCAGUGGUAAAGAGCAUGCUUAACAUGAAAAGCAUCUUAACCUCCUGGGUUCAAUCCCCAAUACCUUCA